UGCAAGUCGAACGGUAGCGCGGGGGCAACCCUGGCGACGAGUGGCGAACGGGUGAGUAAUACAUCGGAACAUAUCCAGUAGCGGGGGAUAACCUAUCGAAAGAUGGACUAAUACCGCAUACGAUCUACGGAUGAAAGCAGGGGACCGCAAGGCCUUGCACUAUUGGAGUGGCCGAUGUCGGAUUAGCUAGUUGGUGGGGUAAAAGCUUACCAAGGCGACGAUCCGUAGCUGGUCUGAGAGGACGAUCAGCCACACUGGAACUGAGACACGGUCCAGACUCCUACGGGAGGCAGCAGUGGGGAAUUUUGGACAAUGGGCGCAAGCCUGAUCCAGCCAUGCCGCGUGAGUGAAGAAGGCCUUCGGGUUGUAAAGCUCUUUCGGUGAAGACGAAACGGUUAGCGCUAAUAACGCUGACUAAUGACGGUACUCACAGAAGAAGCACCGGCUAACUACGUGCCAGCAGCCGCGGUAAUACGUAGGGUGCAGGCGUUAAUCGGAAUUACUGGGCGUAAAGCGUGCGCAGGCGGUUUGCUAAGACAGGUGUGAAAUCCCCGAGCUUAACUUGGGAAUUGCGCUUGUAACUGGCAGGCUAGAGUGUAGCAGAGGGGGGUGGAAUUCCACGUGUAGCAGUGAAAUGCGUAGAUAUGUGGAGGAACACCGAUGGCGAAGGCAGCCCCCUGGGUUAACACUGACGCUCAUGCACGAAAGCGUGGGGAGCAAACAGGAUUAGAUACCCUGGUAGUCCACGCCCUAAACUAUGUCAACUAGUUGUCGGGGAAGAAAUUCCUUGGUAACGAAGCUAACGCGUGAAGUUGACCGCCUGGAGAGUACGGCCGCAAGGUUAAAACUCAAAGGAAUUGACGGGGACCCGCACAAGCGGUGGAUUAUGUGGAUUAAUUCGAUGC
Molecule: ribosomal RNA, 905 nt
Filed under: uncultured soil bacterium
Lineage: Bacteria
Description: bacterial SSU rRNA
Rfam family: Bacterial small subunit ribosomal RNA
Source: RNAcentral